AACCUGCGGAAGGAUCGUUU
This 20-nucleotide ribosomal RNA is filed under the name Gambierdiscus sp. C-4. RNAcentral's name for it is "partial 18S rRNA". Lineage: Eukaryota; Dinophyceae; Gonyaulacales; Pyrocystaceae. The record is from RNAcentral.